AUGGCUAUAGGUUAAUGGUAGACUGGUCGUUUUCCAAGCGAUGGGUGCCGAUUCAAAUUCGGCUGGCCGUA
RNAcentral lists this transfer RNA (71 nucleotides) under Verpa conica. RNAcentral's name for it is "tRNA-Gly". It matches the Rfam family "tRNA". Rfam says of the family: Transfer RNA (tRNA) molecules are approximately 80 nucleotides in length. Lineage: Eukaryota; Fungi; Ascomycota; Pezizomycetes; Pezizales; Morchellaceae. RNAcentral also lists the same sequence under 6 other names. The record is from RNAcentral.